RNAcentral lists this ribosomal RNA (376 nucleotides) under uncultured bacterium. RNAcentral's name for it is "bacterial SSU rRNA". It matches the Rfam family "Bacterial small subunit ribosomal RNA", at positions 524 to 898 of the family's 1533-position model. The record is from RNAcentral.
AACGUAGGAGGCGAGCGUUAUCCGGAUUUACUGGGCGUAAAGCGCGUGCAGGCGGUUUGGUAAGUUGGAUGUGAAAGCUCCUGGCUUAACUGGGAGAGGUCGUUCAAUACUGCCAGACUUGAGGAUGGUAGAGGGAGAUGGAAUUCCGGGUGUAGUGGUGAAAUGCGUAGAUAUCCGGAGGAACACCAGUGGCGAAAGCGGUCUCCUGGACCACUUCUGACGCUCAGACGCGAAAGCUAGGGUAGCAAACGGGAUUAGAGACCCCGGUAGUCCUAGCUGUAAACGAUGUAGACUUGGCGUCGGCGGGUUUAAAUCCGUCGGUGUCGAAGCUAACGCGAUAAGUCUACCGCCUGGGGACUACGGCCGCAAGGUUAAA